RNAcentral lists this ribosomal RNA (468 nucleotides) under uncultured bacterium. Its description in RNAcentral is "partial 16S ribosomal RNA". It matches the Rfam family "Bacterial small subunit ribosomal RNA", at positions 28 to 507 of the family's 1533-position model. The record is from RNAcentral.
GACGAACGCUGGCGGCGUGCUUAACACAUGCAAGUCGAACGGAAAGGCCCUGCUCUUGUGGGGUGCUCGAGUGGCGAACGGGUGAGUAACACGGGAGUAACCUGCCCUUGACUUUGGGAUAACUUCAGGAAACUGGGGCUAAUACCGGAUAGGAGCUCCUUCUGCAUGGUGGGGGUUGGAAAGUUUCGGCGGUUGGGGAUGGACUCGCGGCUUAUCAUCUUGUUGGUGGGGUAGUGGCUUACCAAGGCCUUGACGGGUAGCCGGCCUGAGAGGGUGACCGGCCACAUUGGGACUGAGAUACGGCCCAGACUCCUACGGGAGGCAGCAGUGAGGGAUAUUGCACGAUGGGCGGAGGCCUGAUGCAGCAACGCCGCGUGCGGGAUGACGGCCUUCGGGUUGUAAACCGCUUUCGCCUGUGACGAAGCGUGAGUGACGGUAAUGAGUAAAGAAGCACCGGCUAACUACGUG